GAUGAACGCUGGCGGUGUGCCUAAUACAUGCAAGUCGAGCGAACAGAUGAGGAGCUUGCUCCUCUGACGUUAGCGGCGGACGGGUGAGUAACACGUGGAUAACCUACCUAUAAGACUGGGAUAACUUCGGGAAACCGGAGCUAAUACCGGAUAAUAUAUUGAACCGCACGGUUCAAUAGUGAAAGACGGUUUUGCUGUCACUUAUAGAUGGAUCCGCGCCGCAUUAGCUAGUUGGUAAGGUAACGGCUUACCAAGGCAACGAUGCGUAGCCGACCUGAGAGGGUGAUCGGCCACACUGGAACUGAGACACGGUCCAGACUCCUACGGGAGGCAGCAGUAGGGAAUCUUCCGCAAUGGGCGAAAGCCUGACGGAGCAACGCCGCGUGAGUGAUGAAGGUCUUCGGAUCGUAAAACUCUGUUAUUAGGGAAGAACAAAUGUGUAAGUAACUAUGCACGUCUUGACGGUACCUAAUCAGAAAGCCACGGCUAACUACGUG
Molecule: ribosomal RNA, 497 nt
Filed under: uncultured bacterium
Lineage: Bacteria
Description: partial 16S ribosomal RNA
Rfam family: Bacterial small subunit ribosomal RNA
Source: RNAcentral